CUGCGGUUAAAAGGCUCGUAGUUGAAACAAUUACUAUUCCCUUAAGGGGACCGUCUCCGGUUUUAGCUUUAUUGCGGCCUAUAGGCAGACGUUUAUUAACUCACCUAUGGCAAGUAUAUAUGUUAUAUGAUAUAGUAAUAGGGUCCCCGUCAUGCCCAUUGAACCAUCCCUGGAUUAAGGGGGGGUGUGAAAUGAUGAAUUCAUACGUUUUUGUUAUACAUUUGAUUCGGUUUAUUAGNNAUACCAUNNUUAUAAUACACNNAAUAAUCUGNCAAUAUCGCCCUCUAUUNUCUUUCUCCUCCGCCCGCCUAUNUNCCUUUNUANCCGCAG
This 330-nucleotide ribosomal RNA is filed under the name Amphipoda environmental sample. RNAcentral's name for it is "partial small subunit ribosomal RNA". Lineage: Eukaryota; Metazoa; Arthropoda; Malacostraca; Amphipoda. The record is from RNAcentral.